RNAcentral lists this ribosomal RNA (484 nucleotides) under uncultured bacterium. RNAcentral describes it as "partial 16S ribosomal RNA". It matches the Rfam family "Bacterial small subunit ribosomal RNA", at positions 30 to 507 of the family's 1533-position model. The record is from RNAcentral.
AUUGAACGCUGGCGGCAGGCCUAACACAUGCAAGUCGAGCGGAUGAAGGGAGCUUGCUCCUGGAUUCAGCGGCGGACGGGUGAGUAAUGCCUAGGAAUCUGCCUGGUAGUGGGGGAUAACGUCCGGAAAUGGGCGCUAAUACCGCAUACGUCCUGAGGGUGAAAGUUGGGGAUCUUCGGACCUCACGCUAUCAUAUGAGCCUAGGUCGGAUUAGCUAGUUGGUGUGGUAAAGGCCUACCAAGGCCACGAUCCGUAACUGGUCUGAGAGGAUGAUCAGUCACACUGGAAGUGAGACACGGUACAGAGUCCUAAGGGAGGCAGCAGUGGGGAAUAUUGGACAAUGGGGGAAAGCAUGAUCCAGCAAUGCCGCGUGUGUGAAGAAGGUCUUCGGAUUGUAAAGCACUUUAAGUUGGGAGGAAGGGAAGUAAGUUAAUACCUUGAUGUAUUGACGUUACCAAAAGAAUAAGCACCGGCUAACUACGUG